UACGUAGGGUGCAAGCGUUGUCCGGAAUUAUUGGGCGUAAAGAGCUCGUAGGCGGUUUGUCGCGUCGAAUGUGAAAUCCCGGGGCUCAACCCCGGGUCUGCAUUCGAUACGGGCAGACUAGAGUUCGGUAGGGGAGUCUGGAAUUCCUGGUGUAGCGGUGAAAUGCGCAGAUAUCAGGAGGAACACCGGUGGCGAAGGCGGGACUCUGGGCCGAUACUGACGCUGAGGCACGAAAGCGUGGGGAGCAAACAGG
Molecule: ribosomal RNA, 253 nt
Filed under: uncultured bacterium
Lineage: Bacteria
Description: partial 16S ribosomal RNA
Rfam family: Bacterial small subunit ribosomal RNA
Source: RNAcentral